AGACGUCUACAUUAGAUACCCGCGUAGUCCCAGCCGUAAACUAUGCUCGCUAGGUGUCAGGCAUGGCGCGACCGUGUCUGGUGCCGCAGGGAAGCCGUGAAGCGAGCCACCUGGGAAGUACGGCCGCAAGGCUGAACUUAAGGAAUUGGCGGGGAGCACAACAACGGGUGGAGCCUGCGGUUUAAUUGGACUCAACGCCGGACAACUCACCGGGAACGACAGCAAUAUGUAGGCCAGGCUGAAGACCUUGCCUGAAUCGCUG
This 262-nucleotide ribosomal RNA is filed under the name uncultured archaeon. Its description in RNAcentral is "partial 16S ribosomal RNA". It matches the Rfam family "Archaeal small subunit ribosomal RNA", at positions 717 to 982 of the family's 1478-position model. The record is from RNAcentral.